GGGGAAUUUUGGACAAUGGGCGCAAGCCUGAUCCAGCCAUGCCGCGUGCAGGAUGAAGGCCUUCGGGUUGUAAACUGCUUUUGUACGGAACGAAAAGCUCUCCUCUAAUAAAGGGGGGUCAUGACGGUACCGUAAGAAUAAGCACCGGCUAACUACGUGCCAGCAGCCGCGGUAAUACGUAGGGUGCAAGCGUUAAUCGGAAUUACUGGGCGUAAAGCGUGCGCAGGCGGUUUUGUAAGACAGAGGUGAAAUCCCCGGGCUCAACCUGGGAACUGCCUUUGUGACUGCAAGGCUGGAGUGCGGCAGAGGGGGAUGGAAUUCCGCGUGUAGCAGUGAAAUGCGUAGAUAUGCGGAGGAACACCGAUGGCGAAGGCAAUCCCCUGGGCCUGCACUGACGCUCAUGCACGAAAGCGUGGGGAGCAAAC
RNAcentral lists this ribosomal RNA (425 nucleotides) under uncultured bacterium. RNAcentral describes it as "bacterial SSU rRNA". It matches the Rfam family "Bacterial small subunit ribosomal RNA", at positions 356 to 773 of the family's 1533-position model. The record is from RNAcentral.